GCCCGCAUAGCUCAGUGGUAGAGCAUUGUACUUAUGAGGUUGUCAACCUAUUUGCUUAUGCAAGGGUCUCCAGUUCGAUCCUGGGUGGGGGCA
The sequence is a transfer RNA, 93 nucleotides long. It matches the Rfam family "tRNA". From Rfam's summary of the family: Transfer RNA (tRNA) molecules are approximately 80 nucleotides in length. Their secondary structure includes four short double-helical elements and three loops (D, anti-codon, and T loops).